AUUGAACGCUGGCGGCAUGCCUUACACAUGCAAGUCGAACGGCAGCACGGGAGCAAUCCUGGUGGCGAGUGGCGAACGGGUGAGUAAUAUAUCGGAACGUGCCCAGUAGUGGGGGGAUAGCCCGGCGAAAGCCGGAUUAAUACCGCAUGAGACCUGAGGGUGAAAGCGGGGGAUCGCAAGACCUCGCGCUAUUGGAGCGGCCGAUAUCAGAUUAGCUAGUUGGUGGGGUAAAGGCCUACCAAGGCAACGAUCUGUAGUUGGUCUGAGAGGACGACCAGCCACACUGGGACUGAGACACGGCCCAGACUCCUACGGAGGCAGCAGUGGGGAAUUUUGGGACAAUGGGCGCAAGCCUGAUCCAGCCAUGCCGCGUGCAGGAUGAAGGCCUUCGGGUUGUAAACUGCUUUGUACGUACGAAAAGACUAC
This 426-nucleotide ribosomal RNA is filed under the name uncultured bacterium. Its description in RNAcentral is "bacterial SSU rRNA". It matches the Rfam family "Bacterial small subunit ribosomal RNA", at positions 30 to 455 of the family's 1533-position model. The record is from RNAcentral.